GAUGAACGCUGGCGGCGUGCCUAAUACAUGCAAGUCGAGCGAACAGACGAGGAGCUUGCUCCUCUGACGUUAGCGGCGGACGGGUGAGUAACACGUGGAUAACCUACCUAUAAGACUGGGAUAACUUCGGGAAACCGGAGCUAAUACCGGAUAACAUGUUGAACCGCAUGGUUCAACAGUGAAAGACGGUCUUGCUGUCACUUAUAGAUGGAUCCGCGCUGCAUUAGCUAGUUGGUAAGGUAACGGCUUACCAAGGCAACGAUGCGUAGCCGACCUGAGAGGUGGAUCGGCCACACUGGAACUGAGACACGGUCCAGACUCCUACGGGAGGCAGCAGUAGGGAAUCUUCCGCAAUGGGCGAAAGCCUGACGGAGCAACGCCGCGUGAGUGAAGAAGGUCUUCGGAUCGUAAAACGCUGUUAUUAGGGAAGAACAAAUGUGUAAGUAACUAUGCACGUCUGGACGGUACCUAAGCAGAAAGCCACGGCUAACUACGU
RNAcentral lists this ribosomal RNA (496 nucleotides) under uncultured bacterium. Its description in RNAcentral is "partial 16S ribosomal RNA". It matches the Rfam family "Bacterial small subunit ribosomal RNA", at positions 28 to 506 of the family's 1533-position model. The record is from RNAcentral.